Molecule: long non-coding RNA, 1124 nt
Filed under: Ananas comosus (pineapple)
Lineage: Eukaryota; Viridiplantae; Streptophyta; Magnoliopsida; Poales; Bromeliaceae
Description: long non-coding RNA (ACOM_LNC037830)
Source: RNAcentral
AUAUUAUAUUUAUUCUGUCAAUGCAACUGGACAAUUUAAUCAGUAUUUUUGAUAAUUUUACUUUGUCAAUUUUUAUGUAACUCGAAUAACUUUUUUAUGAACAAUAGUGUACAAUAAAGAAAAAAAUUUAAAGAAUAAAGUUUUCUUUCUUUAUCAUUUAUUAUGAAGCAACGAUUCGUAAAAAGUAGAAAUUAAUGAGACAAAAAAUCGAAGAGAUAAUGAUUUUACGGAAAAAACGAACGGACACAAAUGAAGAGCGAAGUGAUUGGAGAGCAGCAUUUAAUGGGGAGGAAGCUGAAAAGAAAAAGAUGUUACAAAAAAAACAAGUGAACACACUUAAUGAGGGGAAAAGUCGAAGAGGCAAUGAUGUUAUUGGGAUGGCAAACAGGAGGAACGAAUGAAACAAAGCAAUUGAAAAAUAGAAAUCGAGAAUGAGAGAGACUCUUGAGGUGGGUCCCAUGAGCAAAACUUAAGAAGAGCACGCACAUAGGAUAAGAUUAUGAAAAUUAAUAGUGUUUUAUAGAUUUAAAAGUAAUAAUAGUUAGUUUUAACUACCUAAAUUGUAAAGACCUAAUUUUUAUACAUCAAUCAUCUAUGAGCCAAACAACCUAUAUAUUAUAUUUAUUCUGUUGAUGCAACAUGACGAUUUAAUCAGUAUUUUUGAUAAUUUUAUUUUGUCAAUUUUUAUAUAACUCAAAUAACUUAUUUAUGAACAGUAAUAUACAAUAAAGAAAAAAAUUUAAGGAAUAAAGUCUUCUUUCUUUAUCAUUUAUUAUGAAGCAACGAUCCGUAGGAAGUAGAAAUUAAUUAGGCAAGAAGUCGAAGAGAAAACAAUUUUACGAAAAAAACAAACGAGCACAAAUGAAGAGUGAAGUGAUUGGAGAGUAGCAUUUAAUGGGGAGAAGCUGAAAAGGUAAAGAUGUUACGGAAAAGACGAGUGAAGAUACUUAAUGAGGAGGAAAGCCGAAGAGGCAACAAUGUUAUUGGAACGACAAACAGACACAUUGUGGAGAAACGAACGAAACAAAGCAAUUGAAAAAUAGAAAUCGAAAAUGGGAGAGACUCUUGAGGUGGGUUCGAUGAGCAAAAUUUAAGAAGAACACGUCACGUAGGAUAAGAGUACG